GACGAACGCUGGCGGCGUGCCUAAUACAUGCAAGUCGAGCGGACUUUCAAGAAGCUUGCUUUUUGAAAGUUAGCGGCGGACGGGUGAGUAACACGUGGGCAACCUGCCUGUAAGACGGGGAUAACUCCGGGAAACCGGGGCUAAUACCGGAUAAUAUCUUUCUUCGCAUGAAGGAAGGUUGAAAGGCGGCGCAAGCUGCCGCUUGCAGAUGGGCCCGCGGCGCAUUAGCUAGUUGGUGAGGUAACGGCUCACCAAGGCGACGAUGCGUAGCCGAGCUGGGAGGGGGAUCGGCCACGCUGGGACGGAGCAGCGGCCAAGACUCCUACGGGAGGCAGCAGUAGCGAAUCGUCCGCAAUGGACGAAAGUCUGACGGAGCAACGCCGCGUGAGCGAAGAAGGUCUUCGGAUCGUAAAGCUCUGUUGUCAGGGAAGAACAAGUACCGUUCGAAUAGGGCGGUACCUUGACGGUACCUGACCAGAAAGCCACGGCUAACUACGUGCCAGCAGCCGCCGUAA
Molecule: ribosomal RNA, 515 nt
Filed under: uncultured bacterium
Lineage: Bacteria
Description: partial 16S ribosomal RNA
Rfam family: Bacterial small subunit ribosomal RNA
Source: RNAcentral